UCAAUUAGAACUUUAUUUGGAUGAACCAAGACUUGACCGUGGUGCUCCACUCGACAUUCUUUCAUUUUGGAAGACUAAUGAGCAUAGAUACCCCGAGCUCUCUCUAUUGGCAAGGGACAUAAUGGCGGUUCCUAUUUCUACGGUUGCUUCGGAGAGUACUUUCAGUGUAGGUGAGAGAAUCCUUAACCAAUACCGAAGCACUCUUAAGCCUAACAAUGUGGAGGCUUUAGUUUGCACGCGUGAUUGGUUAUAUGGUAUCAAAGAUAGACAAUUACUAAUGUUAUAUUUCAACUUUUUUUGAUUAUUUAUUCGGAUAAUAGGUGAGGUUGGGUGUUCGUAAUGUUGCUUUUGUGGAUUAAUAUCAGUAUCUUUGAUCUGAUGUGUAUGACUAUUGGAUUUCCAUUCAUGUAUUAUUGGUUUUUUUUUAAGGUGAUGUUUUUUAAGGUGAGGUUUUAACCUUUUGGAUUCAAGAGGUGGGUUUCUCUAGUACGGAUGUUUUGUACAUGAUACAUUGUAAAUUUUUUUGGGCUAAAUUAUCAAAUUGGCAUUUUGGCAGGAGUCUAUUCAAAUUAUGGCCACAUUUGAUUGCCUCAUGAAGACUUAUGGGUUCCUGGCACCAGACUGCAAAGAGUACAUGAAUAUACUGCAAAGAGUUAAAGAAGAGAGGGAACUAAAAUAAAUGCGGAAAAGAAGGAUAACUACAUGCUAUAUUAUUGUAUAAUGUCUACAUAUAUUUUCCUUUACUGCUCUUCAUUGCUUUUUGCGGUAGGAAACCCCCUUGACCAAUAUUUCCAGGUCCUUGUGAAGACAUUUUUCCUUGCGACAUGAUUUGGGACCGUCCAGAGCCUUGAACAAAUGAUGUAUUUUUGUUUGUCGAUAUUUGUAAUUUGUUGAAGUACAUUUAAAUACUGAAUACGUCUUUGAAAUAACUCCAUGUUGUGAGUAGUAAUAGUUUUUGUCUAAAGAGCUUGCAAAAA
This is a long non-coding RNA of Asparagus officinalis (garden asparagus), 977 nucleotides long. RefSeq lists it as uncharacterized. The transcript has 2 exons. Lineage: Eukaryota; Viridiplantae; Streptophyta; Magnoliopsida; Asparagales; Asparagaceae. The record is from RefSeq and is a predicted model, not a curated record.